This 496-nucleotide ribosomal RNA is filed under the name uncultured bacterium. RNAcentral describes it as "partial 16S ribosomal RNA". It matches the Rfam family "Bacterial small subunit ribosomal RNA", at positions 28 to 506 of the family's 1533-position model. The record is from RNAcentral.
GAUGAACGCUGGCGGCGUGCCUAAUACAUGCAAGUCGAGCGAACGGACGAGAAGCUUGCUUCUCUGAUGUUAGCGGCGGACGGGUGAGUAACACGUGGAUAACCUACCUAUAAGACUGGGAUAACUUCGGGAAACCGGAGCUAAUACCGGAUAAUAUUUUGAACCGCAUGGUUCAAAAGUGAAAGACGGUCUUGCUGUCACUUAUAGAUGGAUCCGCGCUGCAUUAGCUAGUUGGUAAGGUAACGGCUUACCAAGGCAACGAUGCAUAGCCGACCUGAGAGGGGGACCGCCAACAUGGAAACUGAGCCACGGUCCAGACCCCUACGGGGGGCACAAGGGGGGAAUUUUCGGCAAGGGGCGAAAGCCUAAGGGAGCAACGCCGCGGGAGUGAGGAAGGUCUCCGGAUCGUAAAACUCUUUUUUUAGGGAAGAAAAAUUGUGUAAGUAACUGUGCAAAUUUUGACGGUACCAAAUCAAAAAGCCCCGGCUAACUACGU